AACGAACGCUGGCGGCAUGCCUAACACAUGCAAGUCGAACGGGAUCCAGGCUUCGGCCUGGUGAGAGUGGCGGACGGGUGAGUAACACGUGGGAAUCUGCCUUUUGGUUCGGGAUAACCGCGGGAAACUGCGGCUAAUACCGGAUGUACCCGCGAGGGGAAAGAUUUAUCGCCAGAAGAGGAGCCCGCGUCCGAUUAGGUAGUUGGUGGGGUAAUGGCCUACCAAGCCAACGAUCGGUAGCUGGUCUGAGAGGAUGAUCAGCCACACUGGGACUGAGAUACGGCCCAGACUCCUACGGGUGGCUG
RNAcentral lists this ribosomal RNA (305 nucleotides) under uncultured Pseudomonadota bacterium. RNAcentral describes it as "bacterial SSU rRNA". It matches the Rfam family "Bacterial small subunit ribosomal RNA", at positions 29 to 351 of the family's 1533-position model. Lineage: Bacteria; Pseudomonadati; Pseudomonadota. The record is from RNAcentral.